CCGAGACUCAGUGAAAUUGAACUCGCUGUGAAGAUGCAGUGUACCCGCGGCAAUACGGAAAGACCCCGUGAACCUUUACUAUAGCUUGACACUGAACAUUGAGCCUUGAUGUGUAGGAUAGGUGGGAGGCUUUGAAGCGUGGACGCCAGUCUGCGUGGAGCCAACCUUGAAAUACCACCCUUUAAUGGCUGGUGUUCUAACGUAGACCCGUAAUCCGGGUUGCGGACAGUGUCUGGUGGGUAGUUUGACUGGGGCGGUCUCCUCCCAAAGAGUAACGGAGGAGCACGAAGGUUGGCUAAUCCUGGUCGGACAUCAGGAGGUUAGUGCAAUGGCAUAAGCCAGCUUGACUGCGAGCGUGACGGCGCGAGCAGGUGCGAAAGCAGGUCAUAGUGAUCCGGUGGUUCUGAAUGGAAGGGCCAUCGCUCAACGGAUAAAAGGUACUCCGGGGAUAACAGGCUGAUACCGCCCAAGAGUUCAUAUCGACGGCGGUGUUUGGCACCUCGAUGUCGGCUCAUCACAUCCUGGGGCUGAAGUAGGUCCCAAGGGUAUGGCUGUUCGCCAUUUAAAGUGGUACGCGAGCUGGGUUUAGAACGUCGUGAGACAGUUCGGUCCCUAUCUGCCGUGGGCGCUGGAGAAUUGAGGGGGGCUGCUCCUAGUACGAGAGGACCGGAGUGGACGCAUCACUGGUGUUCGGGUUGUCAUGCCAAUGGCACUGCCCGGUAGCUAAAUGCGGAAAAGAUAAGUGCUGAAAGCAUCUAAGCACGAAACUUGCCC
This 774-nucleotide ribosomal RNA is filed under the name Streptococcus suis. RNAcentral's name for it is "partial 23S ribosomal RNA". It matches the Rfam family "Bacterial large subunit ribosomal RNA", at positions 2026 to 2799 of the family's 2925-position model. Lineage: Bacteria; Bacillati; Bacillota; Bacilli; Lactobacillales; Streptococcaceae. The record is from RNAcentral.